AACGCACCUUGCGCUCCUUGGUAUUCCGAGGAGCACGCCUGUUUGAGUGUCAUGAAAUUCUCAACCUUUUCAGCAUUUAUGUUGAUCAGGCUUGGAUGUGGGAGUUUGCGGGCUUCUCAGAAGUCGGCUCUCCUUAAAUACAUUAGCGGGACCUUUGUUGCCCAGCUUUAGUGUGAUAAUUAUCUACGCUAUUGUUGAAAGCAGCUCUUAAUAGGGUACAGCUUCUAAUCGUCUCAUUUGAGACAACUUCUGACAAUUUGACCUCAAAUCAGGUAGGACUACCCGCUGAACUUAA
RNAcentral lists this unclassified non-coding RNA (295 nucleotides) under uncultured Tricholoma. Its description in RNAcentral is "sequence contains ITS2". The stretch from base 1 to 52 matches the Rfam family "5.8S ribosomal RNA", at positions 103 to 154 of the family's 154-position model. The record is from RNAcentral. Lineage: Eukaryota; Fungi; Basidiomycota; Agaricomycetes; Agaricales; Tricholomataceae.